This 468-nucleotide ribosomal RNA is filed under the name uncultured bacterium. RNAcentral describes it as "partial 16S ribosomal RNA". It matches the Rfam family "Bacterial small subunit ribosomal RNA", at positions 28 to 507 of the family's 1533-position model. The record is from RNAcentral.
GACGAACGCUGGCGGCGUGCUUAACACAUGCAAGUCGAACGGAAAGGCCCUGCUUUUGUGGGGUGCUCGAGUGGCGAACGGGUGAGUAACACGUGAGUAACCUGCCCUUGACUUUGGGAUAACUUCAGGAAACUGGGGCUAAUACCGGAUAGGAGCUCCUGCUGCAUGGUGGGGGUUGGAGAGUUUCGGGGGUUGGGGAUGGACUCGCGGCUUAUCAGCUUGUUGGUGGGGUAGUGGCUUACCAAGGCUUUGACGGGUAGCCGGCCGGAGGGGGUGACCGGCCACAUUGGGACUGAGAUACGGCCCGGACUCCUACGGGAGGCAGAAGUGGGGAAUAUUGCACAAUGGGCGGAGGCCUGAUGCAGCACCGCCGCGUGCGGGAUACCGGCCUUCGGGUUGUAAACCGCUUUCGCCAGUGAGGAAGCGUGAGUGACGGUAGUGGGUAAAGAAGCACCGGCUAACUACGUG